Molecule: ribosomal RNA, 1299 nt
Filed under: Streptococcus thermophilus
Lineage: Bacteria; Bacillati; Bacillota; Bacilli; Lactobacillales; Streptococcaceae
Description: bacterial SSU rRNA
Rfam family: Bacterial small subunit ribosomal RNA
Source: RNAcentral
AGCUUGCUCUUCUUGGAUGAGUUGCGAACGGGUGAGUAACGCGUAGGUAACCUGCCUUGUAGCGGGGGAUAACUAUUGGAAACGAUAGCUAAUACCGCAUAACAAUGGAUGACACAUGUCAUUUAUUUGAAAGGGGCAAUUGCUCCACUACAAGAUGGACCUGCGUUGUAUUAGCUAGUAGGUGAGGUAAUGGCUCACCUAGGCGACGAUACAUAGCCGACCUGAGAGGGUGAUCGGCCACACUGGGACUGAGACACGGCCCAGACUCCUACGGGAGGCAGCAGUAGGGAAUCUUCGGCAAUGGGGGCAACCCUGACCGAGCAACGCCGCGUGAGUGAAGAAGGUUUUCGGAUCGUAAAGCUCUGUUGUAAGUCAAGAACGGGUGUGAGAGUGGAAAGUUCACACUGUGACGGUAGCUUACCAGAAAGGGACGGCUAACUACGUGCCAGCAGCCGCGGUAAUACGUAGGUCCCGAGCGUUGUCCGGAUUUAUUGGGCGUAAAGCGAGCGCAGGCGGUUUGAUAAGUCUGAAGUUAAAGGCUGUGGCUCAACCAUAGUUCGCUUUGGAAACUGUCAAACUUGAGUGCAGAAGGGGAGAGUGGAAUUCCAUGUGUAGCGGUGAAAUGCGUAGAUAUAUGGAGGAACACCGGUGGCGAAAGCGGCUCUCUGGUCUGUAACUGACGCUGAGGCUCGAAAGCGUGGGGAGCGAACAGGAUUAGAUACCCUGGUAGUCCACGCCGUAAACGAUGAGUGCUAGGUGUUGGAUCCUUUCCGGGAUUCAGUGCCGCAGCUAACGCAUUAAGCACUCCGCCUGGGGAGUACGACCGCAAGGUUGAAACUCAAAGGAAUUGACGGGGGCCCGCACAAGCGGUGGAGCAUGUGGUUUAAUUCGAAGCAACGCGAAGAACCUUACCAGGUCUUGACAUCCCGAUGCUAUUUCUAGAGAUAGAAAGUUACUUCGGUACAUCGGUGACAGGUGGUGCAUGGUUGUCGUCAGCUCGUGUCGUGAGAUGUUGGGUUAAGUCCCGCAACGAGCGCAACCCCUAUUGUUAGUUGCCAUCAUUCAGUUGGGCACUCUAGCGAGACUGCCGGUAAUAAACCGGAGGAAGGUGGGGAUGACGUCAAAUCAUCAUGCCCCUUAUGACCUGGGCUACACACGUGCUACAAUGGUUGGUACAACGAGUUGCGAGUCGGUGACGGCGAGCUAAUCUCUUAAAGCCAAUCUCAGUUCGGAUUGUAGGCUGCAACUCGCCUACAUGAAGUCGGAAUCGCUAGUAAUCGCGGAUCAGCACGCCGCGGU